AUGCUGGAAGGAGAGGAUGGACCUGUUGAAGACCCCAAAGGUAUACUUGACCUUACUGUUCAGUUUUAUAAAAAGUUGUUUGGCUUUACCCCCAAACUUAAUAUUCACCUCAAAGAAGGUUUUUGGGGAGAGGAUGGGGUAGUUUCCAGGGCUCAUAAUGAGAAGCUUGAUGCUCCCUUUUCUGAGGAAGAAAUCAAGGCUGCUGUCUUUGGCUCUUAUGCUAAAGGGGCCCCAGGCCCAGAUGGCUUUUCCUUUUUAUUUUAUCAGCACUUUUGGGACCUGAUUAAGCCAGAUUUGCUUUCUCUUUUUGCAGACUGGGAGAAAGGAGAGCUAGAUUUACAUAGGCUUAAUUUCUCCCUUCUCACAUUGGUCCCUAAAGAACCUAAUGUUGUUAGACUGGAAAGAUUUAGACCUCUUGCCAUGACUAAUUGUAGUUUUAAAAUCUUUUCUAAAUGUUGUACAGAUAGGUUUGGUCCAGUGUGUGAUGACAUUAUUCUACAAAACCAAACUGCCUUCAUGAAGGGGAGGUUCAUUAUGGAGAGCAUUGUUGCUGCACACGAGAUUGUGCACUCUUUGGCCUCCUCUAAACUUUCUGGUUUUGUUUUCAAACUUGACUAUGAGAAAGCAUAUGAUAUGAUAAAUAGAGAUUUUCUUUUUGAGGUUUUAUCCAGUAGAGGCUUUAGCAUUAAAUGGAUUGAUAGAAUUAAAUCUCUAAUAUUAAAUGGGUCUGUUGGUGUCAGAGUUAAUGACACCAAUAGUGACUUUUCAUUGCAGGUAAAGGGGUGA
This 786-nucleotide ribosomal RNA is filed under the name Triticum aestivum (bread wheat). Its description in RNAcentral is "partial small subunit ribosomal RNA". Lineage: Eukaryota; Viridiplantae; Streptophyta; Magnoliopsida; Poales; Poaceae. The record is from RNAcentral.